This 840-nucleotide ribosomal RNA is filed under the name uncultured bacterium. RNAcentral's name for it is "bacterial SSU rRNA". It matches the Rfam family "Bacterial small subunit ribosomal RNA", at positions 26 to 898 of the family's 1533-position model. The record is from RNAcentral.
AGAAUCAACGCUGGCGGCGCGCCUAACACAUGCAAGUCGAACGAGAAAGUGGAGCAAUCCAUGAGUAAAGUGGCGUACGGGUGAGUAACACGUGGAUCAUCUACCUUUUAGUGAGGAAUAACCAUGGGAAACCGUGGCUAAUACCGCAUAAGCCCGAGAGGGGAAAGUCGCAAGACGCUGAAAGAGGAGUCUGCGGCCGAUUAGCUAGUUGGCAGGGUAAAAGCCUACCAAGGCAAAGAUCGGUAGCCGGCCUGAGAGGGCACACGGCCACACUGGCACUGAAACACGGGCCAGACUCCUACGGGAGGCAGCAGUGGGGAAUCUUGCACAAUGGGGGAAACCCUGAUGCAGCGACGCCGCGUGAGCGAUGAAGCCCUUCGGGGUGUAAAGCUCUUUCGUCAGGGAAGAUAGUGACGGUACCUGGAGAAGCAGCUGCGGCUAACUACGUGCCAGCAGCCGCGGUAAUACGUAGGCAGCGAGCGUUGUUCGGAGUUACUGGGCGUAAAGGGUGUGUAGGCGGUUGUUUAAGUUUGGUGUGAAAUCUCCCGGCUUAACUGGGAGGGUGCGCCGAAUACUGAAUGACUUCGAGUGCGGGAGAGGAAAGUGGAAUUCCUGGUGUAGCGGUGAAAUGCGUAGAUAUCAGGAGGAACACCGGUGGUGUAGACGGCUUUCUGGACCGUAACUGACGCUGAGACACGAAAGCGUGGGUAGCAAACAGGAUUAGAUACCCUGGUAGUCCACGCCCUAAACGAUGCAUAUUUGGUGUGGGCAGUUCAUUCUGUCCGUGCCGGAGCUAGCGCGUUAAAUAUGCCGCCUGGGGAGUACAGUCGCAAGGCUGAA